GGGCGGGUAGCUCAGCGGUAGAGCAUUCGACUUUUAAUCGACUGGUCAUGGGUUCGAUCCCCAUCCCGCCCACCA
RNAcentral lists this transfer RNA (75 nucleotides) under Acinetobacter baumannii. RNAcentral describes it as "tRNA-Lys". It matches the Rfam family "tRNA". From Rfam's summary of the family: Transfer RNA (tRNA) molecules are approximately 80 nucleotides in length. Their secondary structure includes four short double-helical elements and three loops (D, anti-codon, and T loops). Further hydrogen bonds mediate the characteristic L-shaped molecular structure. tRNAs have two regions of fundamental functional importance: the anti-codon, which is responsible for specific mRNA codon recognition, and the 3' end, to which the tRNAs corresponding amino acid is attached (by aminoacyl-tRNA synthetases). tRNAs cope with the degeneracy of the genetic code in two manners: having more than one tRNA (with a specific anti-codon) for a particular amino acid; and 'wobble' base-pairing, i.e. permitting non-standard base-pairing at the 3rd anti-codon position. RNAcentral also lists the same sequence under 8 other names. The record is from RNAcentral. Lineage: Bacteria; Pseudomonadati; Pseudomonadota; Gammaproteobacteria; Moraxellales; Moraxellaceae.